CAGCCUCUAGUGGUAGAGUAAUGUAGGUAAGGGAAGUCGGCAAACUGGAUCUGUAACUUCGGGAGAAAGAUUGGCUCUGAGGGCCAGGCACACCCACCGCUCGCAGGCUAGCCGGCUGAGCUCUUGGUACGCUGGGAGAGCGGCUGGCGUGCCUAACAGUGGCUCGGGGGUGCGGACAAUGGCUGACUCAGAACUGGUACGGCAGGGGGAAUCCGACUGUUUAAUCGAAACAAAGCAUUGUGAG
Molecule: ribosomal RNA, 244 nt
Filed under: Oxyrrhis marina
Lineage: Eukaryota; Dinophyceae; Oxyrrhinales; Oxyrrhinaceae
Description: partial Eukaryotic large subunit ribosomal RNA
Rfam family: Eukaryotic large subunit ribosomal RNA
Source: RNAcentral